AUAGUUAAGAUGACAUCACACUACAAUAGAGUGGGGAUUCUUAAUCCAGUAUAACUGAUGUCCUUAUAAGAGGAAAAUUGAAAACAGACAUACACAGGCAGAUGAUAUGAAAACACGUGAUGGAAAACCACCCAUUUGACAAUAGAGGCUGAGAUUGAAGUGAUGCAUCUACAAGUCAAGAACAGGAAGGAUUACGGAGAACUGCCAGAAAUUUGGAAGAGGAAUGGAGGAUUCUCCUCUAGAGCCUUCAGAGAAACAGCGUGGCCCGGCCAACACCUUGAUGCAGGCUUCUAGCCUCUGGAACUGUGAGAGAGGUCUUCUGCGGUCAUCAAAAUCUCUGUGAACUUCUUGUCCAAAUCCUCUGUUCCAAGGACCACUUCUAGGAUCAAAUCGAUAGUUUCCAGAUCGAAAUCUACCUCUUUCUUCAUGUAAGCCUUUUGGACCACCAUAGACAGGUAGAACCCGAUGUUCUCUCUCAUCAAAAUCUCUAUGCCCCCAGGGCUUCUCUGGAUUAAAGCCAAAAUGGUCUCUUCGACCAAGAUGAUCUAUGCCUGGCCUCACAAGAUUCUCUCUAAUAUCGACAGGAGGUCUUCCAAAAUGAUCCCUACCAUCUAAUGGAGGCCUUCCAGGACCUUCUCUUGGAUCUAUAGGCCGUCCAACCACAUCCCUAACAUCCACCGGGGGAGGUCUACUAAUGCUUUCCCUGGCUUCAAUGGGAGGAAACCGGGACUAGAAAAGGUCUUUCUGGCUGACUAAAAAUAUCUCCUGGAGGAAAAGGACCACGAGGUGGUGGUGGAUGAAGAGCUGAAUCAAGUACUGAUGGGGGAGGGAUUCCCCGUUGGGGUGGAAUUCCAGGCUGCAUUAAAGGGAAUCUUGGUCCAGGUGUCUGUGGUAUUAGUCCUGGACGAAU
Molecule: long non-coding RNA, 910 nt
Organism: Canis lupus familiaris (dog)
Lineage: Eukaryota; Metazoa; Chordata; Mammalia; Carnivora; Canidae
Exons: 3
Source: RefSeq, a predicted model, not a curated record